This 253-nucleotide ribosomal RNA is filed under the name uncultured bacterium. Its description in RNAcentral is "partial 16S ribosomal RNA". It matches the Rfam family "Bacterial small subunit ribosomal RNA", at positions 524 to 776 of the family's 1533-position model. The record is from RNAcentral.
UACAGAGGCCUCGAGCGUUAGGCGGAAUCACUGGGCUUAAAGCGUGUGUAGGCGGACUUCUAAGUACCUUGUGAAAUCCCACGGCUUACCCGUGGAACGGCUGGGUAUACUGGGAGUCUUGAGCCACCUAGGGGCGAGUGGAACAAAUGGUGGAGCGGUGAAAUUCGUAGAUAUUGGGAAGAACACCGGUGGCGAAGGCGGCUCACUGGCUCAUUACUGACGCUCAGGCGCGAUAGCGUGGGGAUCAAACAGG